Long non-coding RNA from Argiope bruennichi, 412 nucleotides. RefSeq lists it as uncharacterized. The transcript is spliced from 2 exons. NCBI's taxonomy places the organism in Eukaryota, Metazoa, Arthropoda, Arachnida, Araneae, Araneidae. The record is from RefSeq and is a predicted model, not a curated record.
AGUUUUUCAAAUGCGACAACUACAUACCAAUGUCCCAUCUCAACCACGUGAUCUGCUUAAGUUAGGCGCGGUCUUUAUUGCUCGCAAUAGUUAGUCUAUCGGAAUGCUCCUUUAACUGUACAUUUCAUUUCUUUCCUGUGCCAAAUAUCGCCAAAAUGAUUGUCUGGAACCAAAACGAUUUAUGUUGUGAAAUUUAUUCGUAAGAGUACUAUGAGCUCACCACACCAUGAAAAACUUAGAAGUAACCCGUACACUGGGAAAGUCUGCCCAAACCUGUUCUACAUCAAUGCCGUCAUUUUCAGAAAUGAUACAACCAUCCAAAUCAGCUGGUAUUUUAUUAAUUUAAGAAUGGUUGAAAAAAUAACAGAUUUUUAUUAUUAUUAAUCUCAUAAAAAUUAUUAUUAUUUGGUAA